GACGUAGGAUGCAAGCGUUGUCCGGAAUUAUUGGGCGUAAAGAGUUCGUAGGUGGUUUAUUAAGUCUGGUGUUAAAUCUCGGGGCUCAACCCCGAUAGGGCAUUGGAAACUGGUUGACUAGAGUGCAGUAGAGGUAACGAGAAUUCCUGGUGUAGCGGUGAAAUGCGUAGAUAUCAGGAGGAAUGCCAGAGGCGAAAGCGCGUUACUGGGCUGUAACUGACACUGAGGAACGAAAGCCAGGGUAGCGAAAGGG
RNAcentral lists this ribosomal RNA (253 nucleotides) under uncultured bacterium. RNAcentral describes it as "partial 16S ribosomal RNA". It matches the Rfam family "Bacterial small subunit ribosomal RNA", at positions 524 to 776 of the family's 1533-position model. The record is from RNAcentral.